CUAUCGUUAACUGAAUACAUAGGUUAACGAGGCGAACCGGGGGAACUGAAACAUCUAAGUACCCCGAGGAAAAGAAAUCAACCGAGAUUCCCCCAGUAGCGGCGAGCGAACGGGGAGCAGCCCAGAGUCUGAAUCAGCUUGUGUGUUAGUGGAACGGUCUGGAAAGUCCGACGGUACAGGGUGAUAGUCCCGUACACCAAAAUGCACAGGCUGUGAACUCGAAGAGUAGGGCGGGACACGUGGUAUCCUGUCUGAAUAUGGGGGGACCAUCCUCCAAGGCUAAAUACUCCUGACUGACCGAUAGUGAACCAGUACCGUGAGGGAAAGGCGAAAAGAACCCCGGCGAGGGGAGUGAAAAAGAACCUGAAACCGUGUACGUACAAGCAGUGGGAGCACCUUCGGGUGUGACUGCGUACCUUUUGUAUAAUGGGUCAGCGACUUAUAUUCUGUAGCAAGGUUAACCGUAUAGGGGAGCCGCAGGGAAACCGAGUCUUAACUGGGCGUUAAGUUGCAGGGUAUAGACCCGAAACCCGGUGAUCUAGCCAUGGGCAGGUUGAAGGUUGGGUAACACUAACUGGAGGACCGAACCGACUAAUGUUGAAAAAUUAGCGGAUGACUUGUGGCUGGGGGUGAAAGGCCAAUCAAACCGGGAGAUAGCUGGUUCUCCCCGAAAGCUAUUUAGGUAGCGCCUCGUGAACUCAUCUUCGGGGGUAGAGCACUGUUUCGGCUAGGGGGUCAUCCCGACUUACCAACCCGAUGCAAACUACGAAUACCGAAGAAUGUUAUCACGGGAGACACACGGCGGGUGCUAACGUCCGUCGUGAAGAGGGAAACAACCCAGACCGCCAGCUAAGGUCCCAAAGUCAUGGUUAAGUGGGAAACGAUGUGGGAAGGCACAGACAGCCAGGAUGUUGGCUUAGAAGCAGCCAUCAUUUAAAGAAAGCGUAAUAGCUCACUGGUCGAGUCGGCCUGCGCGGAAGAUGUAACGGGGCUAAACCAUGCACCGAAGCUGCGGCAGCGACACUAUGUGUUGUUGGGUAGGGGAGCGUUCUGUAAGCCUGCGAAGGUGUGCUGUGAGGCAUGCUGGAGGUAUCAGAAGUGCGAAUGCUGACAUAAGUAACGAUAAAGCGGGUGAAAAGCCCGCUCGCCGGAAGACCAAGGGUUCCUGUCCAACGUUAAUCGGGGCAGGGUGAGUCGACCCCUAAGGCGAGGCCGAAAGGCGUAGUCGAUGGGAAACAGGUUAAUAUUCCUGUACUUGGUGUUACUGCGAAGGGGGGACGGAGAAGGCUAUGUUAGCCGGGCGACGGUUGUCCCGGUUUAAGCAUGUAGGCUGAUUAUCCAGGCAAAUCCGGAUAAUCAAGGCUGAGGUGUGAUGACGAGGCACUACGGUGCUGAAGUAACAAAUGCCCUGCUUCCAGGAAAAGCCUCUAAGCAUCAGGUAACAUCAAAUCGUACCCCAAACCGACACAGGUGGUCAGGUAGAGAAUACCAAGGCGCUUGAGAGAACUCGGGUGAAGGAACUAGGCAAAAUGGUGCCGUAACUUCGGGAGAAGGCACGCUGGUGUGUAGGUGAAGUCCCUGCGGAUGGAGCUGAGACCAGUCGAAGAUACCAGCUGGCUGCAACUGUUUAUUAAAAACACAGCACUGUGCAAACACGAAAGUGGACGUAUACGGUGUGACGCCUGCCCGGUGCCGGAAGGUUAAUUGAUGGGGUUAUCCGUAAGGAGAAGCUCUUGAUCGAAGCCCCGGUAAACGGCGGCCGUAACUAUAACGGUCCUAAGGUAGCGAAAUUCCUUGUCGGGUAAGUUCCGACCUGCACGAAUGGCGUAAUGAUGGCCAGGCUGUCUCCACCCGAGACUCAGUGAAAUUGAACUCGCUGUGAAGAUGCAGUGUACCCGCGGCAAGACGGAAAGACCCCGUGAACCUUUACUAUAGCUUGACACUGAACAUUGAGCCUUGAUGUGUAGGAUAGGUGGGAGGCUUUGAAGCGUGGACGCCAGUCUGCGUGGAGCCAACCUUGAAAUACCACCCUUUAAUGUUUGAUGUUCUAACGUUGGCCCCUGACCGGGGUUGCGGACAGUGUCUGGUGGGUAGUUUGACUGGGGCGGUCUCCUCCCAAAGCGUAACGGAGGAGCACGAAGGUUAGCUAAUCCUGGUCGGACAUCAGGAGGUUAGUGCAAUGGCAUAAGCUAGCUUGACUGCGAGCGUGACGGCGCGAGCAGGUGCGAAAGCAGGUCAUAGUGAUCCGGUGGUUCUGAAUGGAAGGGCCAUCGCUCAACGGAUAAAAGGUACUCCGGGGAUAACAGGCUGAUACCGCCCAAGAGUUCAUAUCGACGGCGGUGUUUGGCACCUCGAUGUCGGCUCAUCACAUCCUGGGGCUGAAGUAGGUCCCAAGGGUAUGGCUGUUCGCCAUUUAAAGUGGUACGCGAGCUGGGUUUAGAACGUCGUGAGACAGUUCGGUCCCUAUCUGCCGUGGGCGCUGGAGAAUUGAGGGGGGCUGCUCCUAGUACGAGAGGACCGGAGUGGACGCAUCACUGGUGUUCGGGUUGUCAUGCCAAUGGCACUGCCCGGUAGCUAAAUGCGGAAGAGAUAAGUGCUGAAAGCAUCUAAGCACGAAACUUGCCCCGAGAUGAGUUCUCCCUGAGACUAUAAGUCUCCUGAAGGAACGUUAAAGACGAUGACGUUGAUAGGCCGGGUGUGUAAGCGCAGCGAUGCGUUGAGCUAACCGGUACUAAUGAACCGUGAGGCUUAACCUU
This 2756-nucleotide ribosomal RNA is filed under the name Klebsiella pneumoniae. Its description in RNAcentral is "bacterial LSU rRNA". It matches the Rfam family "Bacterial large subunit ribosomal RNA". Lineage: Bacteria; Pseudomonadati; Pseudomonadota; Gammaproteobacteria; Enterobacterales; Enterobacteriaceae. The record is from RNAcentral.